AUUGAACGCUGGCGGCAUGCCUUACGCAUGCAAGUCGACCGGCAGCACGGGAGCAAUCCUGGUGGCGAGUGGCGAACGGGUGAGUAGAGUAUCGGAACGUGCCCAGUCGUGGGGGAUAACGUAGCGAAAGCUACGCUAAUACCGCAUACGAUCUAUGGAUGAAAGCGGGGGAUUGCAAGACCUCGCGCGAUUGGAGCGGCCGAUAUCAGAUUAGGUAGUUGGUGGGGUAAAGGCCCACCAAGCCGACGAUCUGUAGCUGGUCUGAGAGGACGACCAGUCACACUGGGACUGAGACACGGCCCAGACUCCUGCGGGAGGCAGCAGUGGGGAAUUUUGGACAAGGGGCGCAAGCCUGACCCAGCAAUGCCGCGUGCAGGAUGAAGGCCUUCGGGUUGUAAACCGCUUUUGUACGGAACGAAAAGACUCUUUCUAAUAAAGAGGGUCCAUGACGGUACCGUAAGAAUAAGCACCGGCUAACUACGUGCCAGCAGCCGCGGUAA
RNAcentral lists this ribosomal RNA (500 nucleotides) under uncultured bacterium. RNAcentral describes it as "partial 16S ribosomal RNA". It matches the Rfam family "Bacterial small subunit ribosomal RNA", at positions 29 to 523 of the family's 1533-position model. The record is from RNAcentral.